Molecule: non-coding RNA, 106 nt
Organism: Podarcis lilfordi (Lilford's wall lizard)
Lineage: Eukaryota; Metazoa; Chordata; Lepidosauria; Squamata; Lacertidae
Source: the annotation of a GenBank genome assembly
UUUGAACCGGUUUAGGCCAGUUUGAACCGGUCUAAACCGGUUGGAACCGGUUCAAACCGGUUUGAACCGGUUUAGGCCAGUUUGAACCGGUCUAAGCCGGUUGGAU